GGGCGUCUCAUUUAGUCGGCAGGCUUUUUGCCAAACUCUGGAAAACACAGGAAACGAGACAGAUUUAAUGUGGAAUCACUCAGCUCUGAAUCCUCAAAUCUUUGGUCUCCACAUCCUCAAGAGAUGCACAACAAAGAUGCCAUGGCUGACUCACUCAUCACCGCUCUUAAUCUGAGUUAAUAAGAAGUGCAAACACUAUAGCGGCUGCCAGCUCUGGUAAUGAGGCGUCUCCUAUCGUCUCCAGUGCGUCUCCUAACACACUGCAAUAUGACACAAGGACAACGAGGACGAGUGAAAAUGGACCCUGAACACCAAUCUGGUGGAGUCGUCUC
Solea solea (common sole) is the source of this 332-nucleotide long non-coding RNA. RefSeq lists it as uncharacterized. The record is from RefSeq and is a predicted model, not a curated record. The transcript is spliced from 3 exons. NCBI's taxonomy places the organism in Eukaryota, Metazoa, Chordata, Actinopteri, Pleuronectiformes, Soleidae.